This 75-nucleotide antisense RNA is filed under the name Streptomyces ipomoeae 91-03. Its description in RNAcentral is "ASpks TB sRNA". It matches the Rfam family "ASpks TB sRNA". The record is from Rfam by way of RNAcentral. Lineage: Bacteria; Bacillati; Actinomycetota; Actinomycetes; Kitasatosporales; Streptomycetaceae.
CUUGAGCGAGCCCAGCCACAGGGGGCGGUCCGCAGGCCGGUCCUUGCCGUAGGUGGCGAGCAGGGCCCGCGCCUC